AAGGAAUCCUCCUGCCUCAGCCUCCUGAGUAGCUGAGACUACAGAGAUGAGAAAAAUGGAGGCUUUAUGAAAUCUCAUAUUGUCAGACAACGUGAGAAAUGUAGAUGAAAAUGGAAAGUGAUACUAGAUGUUGCAGUGUCAUCUGCCUUGAUAUUCAUUCACCUCUGCCAGAUGCUAGCACCGCCCGGGACUGGAAAUACAAAAUGAUCCAGCGAAAGUGCCCAGUGAGGGCAGAGAGGGGUUGGAGACAUCUCUGGCUCCCCUACAGAAAUGGCAGCCAACAGCGAGCCAUCCUUCUCUGGCUGCAACACUGCUCGCCCCGGACCUGCUGCAGCUGAUAUCCCGGCCCUGUCACGAAAGGCUGGCCAAGUGGAAGGAUUCCUGAGUGAACAGCAGGGUGCCAGCUUCAGGCCUCAGCCCUGUCUCCAGGGCAGAGUCACAUCUCCAGAGAUAAAGCCUGUCUCCAAGAAAGGCAGGGGAGCCAACUCUAGCCGCUUCUGUUGUCAGCCUGCUGCUAAGAAGAGAGAACAAAUGUAACAGUUUCCAGUGCUCUGCUAGUUUGGCUACAGCCAUAAACCUUUACAUCCGCUAAAUAAAAAACCCUGAAUACUUGGUUCUCUCUGCCAACAUUCUCUACCUCCUUCACUUCUGUGGUGGCCCUUUUUCCACCCAGGAAAAAGUAAAUAAA
Lemur catta (Ring-tailed lemur) is the source of this 688-nucleotide long non-coding RNA. RefSeq lists it as uncharacterized. NCBI's taxonomy places the organism in Eukaryota, Metazoa, Chordata, Mammalia, Primates, Lemuridae. The transcript has 4 exons. The record is from RefSeq and is a predicted model, not a curated record.